Molecule: long non-coding RNA, 2572 nt
Organism: Drosophila mojavensis
Lineage: Eukaryota; Metazoa; Arthropoda; Insecta; Diptera; Drosophilidae
Exons: 2
Source: RefSeq, a predicted model, not a curated record
ACACACAUACACACAUUAACAUCGUUUUACACACCCACACAAACACACACUCAUACACACAUUCACACUUACAUACAUGUGCAAUAAAAAGCGAGACACAAAGUUAAGUGCAUUAUAAUUGAAUUUAUAGAUUUUAAGAAGAAUUUAAACCGAUUAUUAUUAUUAUUAUAAUGAGUAAUCUAACACAGUGCAUAUGUAUUUAUUCACUAAUCAUAUAAACAUCAUAAUAUAUAUAAAAGGAAAAUAUAUAUACUGCAAGUUUAUUUCGUUGAGAUUCAACUACGUAUCAGUCAGUUACACUGCAUAUAUCAUAUCAUCAUCUAUAUACACCCCCACUCACACACUCUCAAACUCUUAUACACACACAAAUACACGUAUAUUGCAAAUUUAGCCAAGUCAGAAUGAAAAUUUUAAAGAAAACCAAAUACAAAGCUAAAUGUAUUGCGUUCUCGAACUAAAUGUGUUUUGAGUCAAAUUUUUACUUCAAAUACAAGAAAAAACCAACAAAAACAAAAAAACAAAAAAAUAUUAUAAAAUAAAAAACCAAGCAGUAAAUAGCAAAACAAAAAGAAACACUGAAAAUAUUUGGGGAUACUUUCUAUAUAUGUAUUGGGUGUGAAACAACAUGGAAACAUGAAAACAAAACAAAAAGUAAAACAGAAUUAAACACAAUUUUUGAAUUCAUUAAAUAAAGGUAUGUGUUUAGAUAUAUUCAAAACAAAAUGCAAACAGAUGUUUUAUUUUUGAAAGUGGAUCAGCAUCGGCAAGGCAAGUGCCAGAGUCUUUGAGACCUACAAUACCCUGUACCUAGAAGCCAUUGAAAAUUAUGGAAAUUAUUGAAGCAAUUAUGGUUUCGCUGAGGGGUAACAAAUAGCAGAAGUCGUAACAGACCUUGUUUUGCUCUAUCGUAGUAUUGUAGAUCAAACUAAAAUAUUUAAAUCCAGGCGAACAGCUAAAUCGAUAUAAAAUCUCUAAUCUACUAUAGGUCUUUGAGUCCUUAGCACUUUAAUAUCAAAUAUGGAAUAUUUAUCAAGCUAAGAUAAAGACAAUUAAUGCUAGGUCCUACAUUUGAAGUGAAACGAACAUAUAUUUUUCAUUAAUAAUCAGUAGCAGCACGCGACAGGGUAUCCGCUAGUCGAUGCACGUUUUGCAAUCUAGCUCAUUCUUAAGAACUCGUAUAUGCACUCUGCUGAAUUUUCCGUUUUGAGCUGCGGUUGACAUUUUGCAAUUUCAGUUCAUUUGAAUUCCAAUAAUUUUUUUUUUACUGCUGCAAUGUUAUUCAAAUUGAAAUGAAACCAGUUUUUGUAAAACUUUAAUAUUGCGCCAUGGUAUAAAUACUUUUCAUGCCAAUUUGAUAAUUGAAUUGGCACUUGACGUGGUUAAUCGAGUAUGUUAAGCCAUUUAAUUGCCCUAUAACUAUGUCCAUUUCGUACGCUAGGCCUUGACAAUAUUUUUGGAAACAAAAAAACUAACAUAUUUUCUAUUCAUAUUUCAAGUUCAUAUUUUUUUUAGUCAUGAACCAUUCAUAAAAUAACAACAAUAAAUAUAAAAUGUGCCAAAAAAACAAAAAGCUUUGUUUCAUUCAUAAACAAAACGUUAAGAGAAUGAAUAGAGGAAGAGAGAGAGAGAGAGAGAGAGAGAGAGAGAAAAUUGGGAGAGAAAGGUAGACAGACCAGUGUUGCCAGCUUCGCCUAUUUCAGGCUAGAUCUAGCCAAUAGCUUUAUGUUAUGUUAUGUUAUGUUAUAGUGUACCUGAGAUAUGAAGUAUAUCAACAUAUAGCUUUAUCAAUCAUACAUAUAUAUUAGCCAAUAUAACUGCUUCUAUGUCCUCUGUCUAUCUCACAGAAUUAUGUCUGUUUGUCUGUCUGCCUAACAAUAGCAGGGACCGAAGAACAACUACCGAAGAUCAUUCAUUUCGUGUUUCUAUUUAAGUAAAACGAAGUUAGAAUGCAUGCAGUAGCCGAGGGUGUUCCGAUUGGUCACUUAAAGGCCGACGGGAGCGACUCUUACCUGGCGUCGGGCUCAACAUUUGAGAGCGAAUUAGUGUUUGAGUGGAAGUCGCCCUAUAUAAAGGGCUGCAGCUGCAGCAUUUCUUCAGUCGCCCAUUAACCACUCAGAGGAAAGACAGCGGAAAUACUUGGAGGAAAUACUAGAUGGGGCAACUAUAAAAAAGCUGGCAUCACUGAGGUAGGCACACAUACAGAGUGAGACAGAAAGAGAGGCAGAGCGGGAGCAUUGUUUGCAUUUAUAAACAGUUUGCACUACUAUAACAUUUGAUAAUGUACUAUUAGCAUUUUUGAUUGAAAUAUGUGAUAGUCGUUGGGGUCUGCGAUUUGUUAACACAGCUGAUUGCGUCGAUAAGGCGGGCGGCGAGCAUGACUAUCGUACACUAUGCCAAAAGCACGUGUCGAGCUACAAUGUGAAGCGCAAACGAUUCGGGAGAAGGCUAAAAACCCCAAGCUGCGGCUCCCCAUGAGGAAAAUCCAAUUUCCAUCGCAUUGUUAUUCUAAUGACUUGUCAGAUAUGAAAGUGAUUAAAUAAAUAUCCGGCUCCAAACCGGUUCCGUAUAACUA